Molecule: ribosomal RNA, 253 nt
Filed under: uncultured Lactobacillus sp.
Lineage: Bacteria; Bacillati; Bacillota; Bacilli; Lactobacillales; Lactobacillaceae
Description: partial 16S ribosomal RNA
Rfam family: Bacterial small subunit ribosomal RNA
Source: RNAcentral
UACGUAGGGAGCAAGCGUUGUCCGGAUUUAUUGGGCGUAAAGCGAGUGCAGGCGGUUCAAUAAGUCUGAUGUGAAAGCCUUCGGCUCAACCGGAGAAUUGCAUCAGAAACUGUUGAACUUGAGUGCAGAAGAGGAGAGUGGAACUCCAUGUGUAGCGGUGGAAUGCGUAGAUAUCGGGAGGAACACCAGUGGCGAAGGCGGCCUGCUGGACAUUAACUGACGCUGAGGCGCGAAAGCGUGGGGAGCAAACAGG